Molecule: small RNA, 269 nt
Filed under: Otolemur garnettii (small-eared galago)
Lineage: Eukaryota; Metazoa; Chordata; Mammalia; Primates; Galagidae
Description: 7SK RNA (ENSOGAG00000024240.1)
Rfam family: 7SK RNA
About the family: 7SK was discovered as an abundant small nuclear RNA in the mid-70s but a possible function has only recently been suggested.
Source: RNAcentral
GGGUGUGAGGGCGAUCUGGCUGUGACACCUGUCACCCCAUUGAGGGCCACAGUUGAUUCAACUGAUCUAGCUGAUGAGGUAGGUGUCCCCUUCCUCCCUUCCCCCUCCACUUGUGUCCUUCCCAAAGCUGCAUGCUCAUUGGAAGAGAAUGACUUCCCUGGAUAAAGAAGGACUGUUAUUUUGUCAAAGGUAUAAUGGUAGCUGUGCUCCUCUGCUAGAAGCUCCAAAAUAGCUCUCAAACUGGUGCGAAAGGUACAUUUUUCUUGUAU